This 830-nucleotide long non-coding RNA is filed under the name Brassica napus (rape). RNAcentral's name for it is "long non-coding RNA (BNAP_LNC002765)". Lineage: Eukaryota; Viridiplantae; Streptophyta; Magnoliopsida; Brassicales; Brassicaceae. The record is from RNAcentral.
CACGUCUCCUCCAGAUCCGGAAACAAGCCGACGACCACCGAUCGUUAGCCCUAGCCUACGCGUCCUACGCGAGGAAACUCAAGCUCGAGAACUCGAAGCUCGUGAGGAUCUUCGCGGAUCUCUCGAGAAACUACACAGAUCUGAUCAACAAACCUUCCUACCGAUCUCUCCACGACUCCGACGGAUCCUCCUCCAUCGACGAAUCCACGCUUCGUCAGUUCGAGAAAGAGGUCAAGGAACGGAUCAAGAUGACUCGCCAGGUGAUCGCCGAAGCCAAGGAAUCUUUCGACAACCAGCUCAAGAUCCAGAAGCUCAAGGACACGAUCUUCGCCGUCAACGAGCAGCUGACCAAGGCCAAGAAGCAAGGCGCGUUCUCCAGCUUGAUCGCCGCGAAAUCGAUCCCGAAAGGAUUGCAUUGCCUCCAAUCUCUCCGAUUCAAUCUCCGAUUUGUGACAUUUUUGUGGAAUUAAUAGGGCGUCGGAUUCAUCAGAAGAUCCAUGCUGGAUAUCAAACCGGAUCCGCUCAAGCCACGUCUCCUCCAGAUCCGGAAACAAGCCGACGACCACCGAUCGUUAGCCCUAGCCUACGCGUCCUACGCGAGGAAACUCAAGCUCGAGAACUCGAAGCUCGUGAGGAUCUUCGCGGAUCUCUCGAGAAACUACACAGAUCUGAUCAACAAACCUUCCUACCGAUCUCUCCACGACUCCGACGGAUCCUCCUCCAUCGACGAAUCCACGCUUCGUCAGUUCGAGAAAGAGGUCAAGGAACGGAUCAAGAUGACUCGCCAGGUGAUCGCCGAAGCCAAGGAAUCUUUCGACAACCAGCUCAAG